CGGCAGCUUGCGAAACUCAUAAUCGCCGAAUCCAUGUAUAACUUGUCGUUGGUUUUCUUUGACUUCAUUAUCAAGGAAGGAUUAUAAGGACAAAAUAUUUAGGCACCAAUUAAACCAUCGCCAUUUUGAGCAACAGACAGCGAUAAUAGCGUGUCCACAGCGAAUACCAAAACAUCGAUAACCAUGGCAACAGCUCCAAAGAACAGUAAUAAGUCGAUGAACAGAAAGGUUACGGCCGGGGAGAUCGUUAAGCUAUCGAGACUUCUACCUUACGGAAAAUACAGCGAGCUAUUGGUAAACUUGGGUUUUAGCCUCAACUACAUUCAGACGAUAUUGAAGAAACAUUCAAAUGACACAAACGAAGCAUUUGAAUAUAUAUUGAAUGAAUGGGCUAAUAAACUUGAAGGUGGAUACAUUGACGAUCUAGACAAAGCUCUGCAUAAAGCAGAAAUAGGAGCUCUUAUCGAUGAAUAUAAGAAAUAAUUAACACGAUAAAUGUGAAUAAUUUCCAUUUUAUCUGUCAUAGAUACAACACAAAACAAUAUAUUGUGGCCAUUGCUUCUGGGUUGAUUUGUAGAAAUACUCUUUCAGGAAAUGUAAAUAUUUAUUUUUUUUUUUUAAUUUAUGUCCUGAUAUUUAAUUGGCAAUUCAAAAGCUGGUGUCAUGUUGGGGGGUUUGAUUUAAGUCAGUUUAAUGACGGUGUCAUGAUGUAUACAAGUUGACUGGUUGCCCUAUGGAUAACAAAGUGAAUGGAAUUUGUGACUAGGUUAAGGCCCCAUAUAGAUAUAUGUUAUGUAUAUAAAUUUGAUUAUAGUUAUUUUUUGGGGAAUGAACUGAACAUAAUUCAAAAUUAAAAAGGUCCCUGUUUUGUAAUUAGGUAUCCUUAUAUGAGAUUAUCCCCCCCCCCCCACACACACGCACACACACAAACAGUAUCUGACACUAAUUAUUGUUCUUUUUUUUUACAUCAAUUUUCUAAAUUUCUUUUGGGAAGCCACUGUUUAGUCACUGUAAAACCCAGUACCUCCUUCUGAAAUAAAUGCAGUAUCUACAUUUUGCACAAGUUGAUAUAUCGAAGCCUCUUUAAAGUGUAUUUCUCAAGUAUUCUUUUAUCAUCAAAUUGAAAAUUAUGCAUGUGCCUAUUUCAGGCCCCAAAAUGGUAAAACUAGGUAUCUAUAUACAUGAAGUUACUCAGUCGAUAUUGCUUCACUACCAAGAAAGAAUGUGUCAACAUGGUCAAUGUGUAAUAUAUAUUUUUGUUUACCAAAGUGCACACCUAGUUAUCAAAAAUGCCUAUAGCAAUUUCAUUUCUUUGAAUGGAGGAUAAAAGAGCAUUGUUGAUUAAAUGCCUUGCUCACGGGCAUAGUUGCCCGGCCGGGAAUCGAACCCCGGACUUUCCAUAUUUAGUCAGGCGCCUUAGACCACUCGGCUACGGCACCGCUAACGGCUUACAUACAAGAAGGGCACCCUUUACCAACAAGGUAAAGUCCCAAACUUCAUUAAAAUUGUCUUUUGAAGGUUGGAAGUUAACUGCAGACGGCGCCAUAGUUUGUAGAUGGUGUCCUAGAGUUUGCAGGCUAGUAAAUACAUGUCCAUUAAAAUCUAAGUACAAACUUAAAAGUUACAAUACUGUAGAUAAAGACGGUAUGUUGUAAGUAAGUAUGUUGUACGCAUGUAAGUAUGUUGUAUGUAUGUAAAGACGUGGAGCGUUGUGGCCCAGUGGAUUAGUCUUUGGACUUGGAAACAGAGGGUCGUGGGUUCGAAUCCCAGCCAUGGCGUAAUUUCCUUCGGCAAGAAAUUCAUCAACAUGGUGCUGCACUCGACCCGGGUGAGGUAAAUGGAUUCCUGGCAGGAAUUUAUUCCUUGAAAUGCCAUCGCGCUGUAAAAGGCUGCGAGGCUAAAGCCAGGGUAAUAAUUUCAAAUUAAGCGCAUAGGGACGCAUUUGGCAGUGAUAUGCGCUAUAUUAGCAUGUUGGUAUUAUUAUUAUUAUGUUUUAUUCAAUUUUGGACCGUUUUGGGGAAUUUAAAGAAGAGAGCGCCCUUGUAGUAGAAAGCGCCCUCCGUUUUUUUAAGCAAUAAUAUGUUUCCCAAUAAUUACACAUUGAUACAUUAUUUCAAAGCAAUGAAGCAAUAUAGACUGAGUAAGUGAUGAGAAAACUCAAUGGAAUUCUCUUCUAUCUGCAUUUUUUUCAAUGGGGAACCCGAGCACUAGCUUCGACUUUCUUAAAAAGUAUCUGCACUUUCUCUAAUAUCUUAGUAAAAAAAAUAUAAGUUUGGGAUGGGGGGCUUAAAAUAUGCAAAUGUAUUACUGAUAUACAAUAUAAUAUGAAUAUGUUUUUACAUAAUUGUGUGGCGUAUGAAUUAGAGAGGAUAGAAGUUCAGCAACUAAAGCAAUACAACUUUUUUAUUACAAGUUUUGCUGUUAUUGGGGUAUGUGACAAUAUAAGCGGGGAGGGGGGUAAUAAUAGGUUCAUUUUCAAUUUUCUUGUGUAUGUUAUACAGUGCGUCCCACAAAAACGAAACCGAGCUUUAUCGUUGAUUUAUCAUAACUUAAUCACAAAUACAAUAGACAAAUAACCUACCAUUGUAAAGCUUUGAAUCUCCCCCUUUCAACCAAAAUUAUUUAGAUUAUAUCACAUUCACGCAUGAGUGAACAAAAACAAUUUGAAGAGGGGAUACCAAAAACUCACUUGGCGGGCUGAAUCUGGGUUUCAAAGGAAAACCACACCUUAAAAAAGUUAAAAAUCUGUUCUUUUAUAUGAUGCCUCAAUUACACAAAAUGGUCACGAAAAAACAAAGUUCUGGUUAUUGGAAAUAAGGCUUGAAUUUCAACAAUUUCAUAAAAUGAAGAGGCAAUCGCCCAGACUCACUCGACACUUCGUUUUGUUGACGAUCGGCCAUGCAUUAAGUCUAUUUUGUUUUACAGUGCGAUAGCUUCUGUGGGAAACCGGUGAAAACACGUUUAUUUAAAGAAAUUAUGUAAAUUCAAGCAUUGUUUCGAAGGAAUAUGACUGUUUUACUUCUUGACCAUUUUCUGUGAUUAAGGUAUCAAAUGAAAAGGCAGAUAUUGAACUUUUUAGGCAUAUGAUUUUCUUUUUAAAAUUCAGAUACCCCCACCUAAUGAGUUUUUGGUAUAAUUCCUUCACAUUGUUUCUGCUCACUUAUGCGUGAAUAAAGAAUAAUCUAAGUAAUUUCAGAUGAAAGCAGAGAUUCUAAGCUUUACAUUGGUGGGUCAUUUGUCUAUUUUAUUUAUGAUUACGUUGUGAUAAAUCAUCGCUUAAUAUCGGUUUCGGUUUUUUUUUUGUGGGACGCACUGUAUAGUAACUUUUACAAAUAUCGUUAGUACUCUGUGGCCGAGUAAUAGUAGCAAACACAAUUUUAUGUGUGUGUGUGCUCUCUUUAAAUACCGACAGCUGUAAUAUUUUUCCUCUGAUUUAUGUAAUCGAAUCAUAUUUAGGUAGUAUUGUCCUCGCUAUUGUAGGCCUACAUAGUACGAAUUCAUUUUUUUUUCUAUUCUGCUGACUUUAAUAUUGUUCGAAAUUGUCAUUAAAUUCAAAUCAAUGUAUUAUUCAAUUUA
Lytechinus pictus (painted urchin) is the source of this 3576-nucleotide long non-coding RNA. RefSeq lists it as uncharacterized. The transcript is spliced from 4 exons. The record is from RefSeq and is a predicted model, not a curated record. NCBI's taxonomy places the organism in Eukaryota, Metazoa, Echinodermata, Echinoidea, Temnopleuroida, Toxopneustidae.